Molecule: ribosomal RNA, 208 nt
Filed under: uncultured bacterium
Lineage: Bacteria
Description: partial 16S ribosomal RNA
Rfam family: Bacterial small subunit ribosomal RNA
Source: RNAcentral
UACGGGGGGGGGCAAGCGUUGUUCGGAAUUACUGGGCGUAAAGGGCUCGUAGGUGGCCAACUAAGUCAGACGUGAAAUCCCUCGGCUUAACCGGGGAACUGCGUCUGAUACUGGAUGGCUGGAGUAUGGGAGAGGAAUGCGGAAUUCCAGGUGUAGCGGUGGAAAUGCGUAGAUAUCUGGAGGAACACCGGGUGGCGAAGGGCGGCAU